Molecule: ribosomal RNA, 492 nt
Filed under: uncultured bacterium
Lineage: Bacteria
Description: bacterial SSU rRNA
Rfam family: Bacterial small subunit ribosomal RNA
Source: RNAcentral
AGGGGAAAGAUUUAUCGCUAUAGGAUGGGCCCGCGUUGGAUUAGCUAGUUGGUGAGGUAAUGGCUCACCAAGGCGACGAUCCAUAGCUGGUCUGAGAGGACGACCAGCCACACUGGGACUGAGACACGGCCCAGACUCCUACGGGAGGCAGCAGUGGGGAAUAUUGGACAAUGGGCGCAAGCCUGAUCCAGCCAUGCCGCGUGAGUGAUGAAGGCCUUAGGGUUGUAAAGCUCUUUUGGCGGGGACGAUAAUGACGGUACCCGCAGAAUAAGUCCCGGCUAACUUCGUGCCAGCAGCCGCGGUAAUACGAAGGGGACUAGCGUUGUUCGGAAUCACUGGGCGUAAAGCGCACGUAGGCGGAUUUGUAAGUCAGGGGUGAAAUCCCGGGGCUCAACCUCGGAACUGCCUUUGAUACUGCGAAUCUCGAGUCCGAUAGAGGUGGGUGGAAUUCCUAGUGUAGAGGUGAAAUUCGUAGAUAUUAGGAAGAACACA